Molecule: ribosomal RNA, 424 nt
Filed under: uncultured bacterium
Lineage: Bacteria
Description: partial 16S ribosomal RNA
Rfam family: Bacterial small subunit ribosomal RNA
Source: RNAcentral
GAAUAUUGCGCAAUGGAGGAAACUCUGACGCAGCAACGCCGCGUGAAGGAAGAAGGCCUUCGGGUUGUAAAGCCCUUUUGUUGGGAAAGAAAAGCAGUCGGCUAAUACCCGGUUGUUCUGACGGUACCCACAGACUAAGCACCGGCUAACUACGUGCCAGCAGCCGCGGUAAUACGUAGGGUGCAAGCGUUAAUCGGAAUUACUGGGCGUAAAGCGUGCGCAGGCGGUUUUGUAAGACAGAGGUGAAAUCCCCGGGCUCAACCUGGGAACUGCCUUUGUGACUGCAAGGCUAGAGUACGGCAGAGGGGGGUGGAAUUCCGCGUGUAGCAGUGAAAUGCGUAGAUAUGCGGAGGAACACCGAUGGCGAAGGCAACCCCCUGGGCCUGUACUGACGCUCAUGCACGAAAGCGUGGGGAGCAAACAG